Ailuropoda melanoleuca (giant panda) is the source of this 2895-nucleotide long non-coding RNA. RefSeq lists it as uncharacterized. Lineage: Eukaryota; Metazoa; Chordata; Mammalia; Carnivora; Ursidae. The record is from RefSeq and is a predicted model, not a curated record. The transcript is spliced from 3 exons.
GGGGGCGACCCGCGGAUCCGAGGAAAUCCGCGGCGGGCGGGGGUGGGCCGAGUGCGGGGACCCGAGAGGGGCAGGGUCUACCAGACCCGGGAGUGAGGUAGGCGGGGAAGACGCGCGUGAGUUCUGGCAGCAGUUGGUCCGCGCCUGUUUGGGGUAAACGCGGUCCUGUACCGGCGGCCCCCUAGCUCCCAGCCCCACGGCCGUACCUCUCCGCGGCAGUUAGUCGCCUAAGCCCGGUGGCCACCGCGCAGUACCGAGUGUCCCAAGUUCCCGAACUAUGUUCCUUUUCUUCGAAGGCAUAAACUGCAAAGCACCACGUCAAGCCCUGCCGACUACCAGCAACCCCAGGCCCACCACUGGAUGCUUGACUGCAGACCCACAGACAGGAAGGAGGAAGGAGUCCUUCUUGAAUCAGAAAGACUGUUCUGCUAUAGACCUUAACCUGAGAAUUCUGAGGAGUCAUCCAGAAGCAGAAAACUGUAAGAAGACAGCUUCCACUCAAGACUAUCAGAAAAAACUAAAGACUGCAUGAAGGCAACAGCCCAAGACUCAUGGAACAUGGGAAGUCAGGGGACUGGCACUACACAUGGUCACAAGUCAAUUCGUAUGCAUGUUUUCUUAAUUUUCCUAGGUAUUUUCCUUUACCUCUUUGGUUUAAGGUUCUGGAUUGUUGACCCUUAUUACCUCUUAACUAUGGUACCUAAAAGCAAUGGUUUGCUGGAGCCAGAUAGAAUCAGCUUAGGAGAAUCAAUUGUUGAGUUGUCAGGAGUCUUGCAGAUUAAAUUCUCAGUAGCUUGAAAUCAGCCAGUGGAAACAUUUACACAGUGGAAAACAGAAAACUACAAAUCGGGGCCUCCCCCACUGCCACUCUCCCAGAGAACCUGUUGUUAAGCAUUUACCAGCACACCACUGCCUAGAAGGUCCCCCAACCUUAAUAUUGCCCUUUGCAUCCUUAGUCAUUCCCAAGCAUAUAUCCAGCUGACUAUGGUUUGCUUACAAUAUGGCUAACACGCCAUUAAACUGUUGAAUUUGCAUUCACUUUCCUUUGGGGACCACCCAGCUUCACCUGGUACCAGUUCCUAGCUAUCAGUUGGUUCUCUAGGUAACUGGACUGAACCACUAAGCAACUUUUUAGAUGGCAAACACCUCAUAGGUCAGACGACCAGAAAUCUGAAACUCCUUAUCACAUUCCACUAAAAAGGGAGAUUCCUAUCUCCACCUGUAAAUCUUUCACGAGUGCUAUAGACUUCGUAAAGAAAUUUUCACAGCCACAGAGCUUUACAAAGUCGGAAACAGACGGCGUACGCUCGGGGCUCAUCUCGCCUUAGCACGCUUUACAAGAUGGCGGACCACGCAGGCACAACCUGGAGCUCUCACACUUUAGAUCUAGCUCAUGAUUUCUCCACCUUAAAUUCAGUCACUGGACUAAUCUUGAUGAGGGACACCAUCACUCCAAGUGCCACAGGACAUCUUUACACCUCGGAAUUGUGGGCUAGGGUGAAAACUAGCUCCCAGUUCCUAUUGAACCUUGUGUGGCUCCAAAGCAAGAUGUUUCUUAUCAGAGAAAGAAGAAAAGACACAGAACAUUUCUCAAUCUUGUCUGGGAAGGGCAGGUGCCGCUGCUUGUCAGUACAAGCCUGGACAACUCAGCAUGGGCCUGUGUGUUUCUUUCCUCCCACUAGAAAACCAGAACUUCCGACACACGUGGAGUGAUCCAAACUGCUCAUUUUUGGCACAAGUUGUCCUUAUUCUGAACACUUAUAUUCUUUCUUUCUUUUUUUUUAAGGUUUUAUUUUUUUAUUUGAGAGAGAGAACACAAGCAGGGGGAGUUGCAGGCAGAGGGAGAGGGAGAAGCAGGCUCCCGAUGCAGGGCUCAAUCCCACGACCCCAGGAUCAUGACCUGAGCUGAAGGUAGAUGCUUAACCGACUGAGCCACCCAGGUGACCCUGAGCACUUACAUUCUUUCUCAAAUUUGUCUUAAAAAGAAGGCUUCAUUUCAGGCUGGACUGCUUUUCAGGUUGAAGAAAUUCAUGUGUUGAACAGUGAUGGUGUAAACUCUUGUGAAAUGCCACUUAAUUCCACUAAUUUUUUGUACAAUUAUUUAUUUAAGGUAUGUGUCUCCUGUAAAUUCUAUCAUUUAUUUAAGGUAUGUGUCUACCUUUAUUAUUCACUGUUGUAUCUCCUAUGCCUGGCUCAUAUAAUAGGCACUAUAUAUAAUGAGUUUAUUUUGAUAAUUCCAACUCAAAGUUAGCAUUAUAGUGUUUUUUCUUUUCUUUUCCUUUUUUUUUUUAAGAUAUUAUUUUUAAGUAAUCUCCACACCCAACAUGGGGCUUGAACUCAUGAUCCCAAAAUCGUCACAUGCUCUACCCACUGAGCCAGCAGGGCACCCCCACAGUGCCUUUUUUCCUUAUCUUCUUAACUUGGAAAUCUUGGCUCCUAAUAACAUUAAUAUUUCCUUAUAUGUUUUAUUAUAUAAUAUACAAAAGCACAAAACUACAAUAUUACUAACAAUAAACUUACCGAAUGCAGUUCAAAUUAUCUUUGUACUUUUAUUUGUUCUUAGACUUUAUAUGGGGAAAAUGUCACAGUGUUCUAUGUUCCAAAGUAACUUUAAAUAAUUAUUUUCUCAGGGUGCCUGGCUGGCUCAGUCAGUAGAGAAGUGACUCUUGAUCUUGGGGUUGUAAGUUCAAGCCCACAUUGGGUGUAGAGAUUAUUCAAAAAUAAAAUCUAAAAAAAAGCAAUAUUUUCUCAGUGUGAUUGGGUUUUAUACUCAGUUCCAUUCAUUUGCUUCUGUUUGUGUUCAAUUUUAGGUUCUUUUUUCUUAUUUCACUUAAUUUCAUUUUUUGAAUACUUUAAUCAUUUAUGUGGUUCAAAAGUCAAAGCUACAUAAAAAGG